This 492-nucleotide ribosomal RNA is filed under the name uncultured bacterium. RNAcentral's name for it is "partial 16S ribosomal RNA". It matches the Rfam family "Bacterial small subunit ribosomal RNA", at positions 29 to 507 of the family's 1533-position model. The record is from RNAcentral.
AGUGAACGCUGGCGGUAGGCCUAACACAUGCAAGUCGAACGGCAGCACAGUAAGAGCUUGCUCUUACGGGUGGCGAGUGGCGGACGGGUGAGGAAUACAUCCGAAUCUACUUUUUCGUGGGGGUUAACGUAGGGAAACCUACGCUAAUACCGCAUACGACCUACGGGUGAAAGCAUGGGAUCUUCGGACCUUGCGGGAUUGAAUGAGCCGAUGUCGGAUUAGCUAGUUGGCGGGGUAAAGGCCCACCAAGGCGACGAUCCGUAGCUGGUCUGAGAGGAUGAUCAGCCACACGGGAACUGAGACACGGUCCAGACUCCUACGGGAGGCAGCAGUGGGGAAUAUGGGACAAUGGGCGCAAGCCUGAUCCAGCCAUACCGAGUGUGUGAAGAGGGCCUUCGGGUUGUAAAGACCUUUUGUUGGGAAAGAAAAGCAGCAGGUUAAUACCCCGCUGUUCUGACGGUACCCAAAGAAUAAGCACCGGCUAACUUCGUG